UAUUUUUAACAUGAUGAUUUCAUAGUUCAACUGAUCGACUCGUGAUGUACACACUAAGCAAUGUCUUUCGCUCCUAUCUGAUACCAUUU
RNAcentral lists this small nucleolar RNA (89 nucleotides) under Aphidius gifuensis. Its description in RNAcentral is "small nucleolar RNA snR60/Z15/Z230/Z193/J17". It matches the Rfam family "Small nucleolar RNA snR60/Z15/Z230/Z193/J17". From Rfam's summary of the family: The members of this family belong to the C/D class of snoRNAs which contain the C (UGAUGA) and D (CUGA) box motifs. Most of the members of the box C/D family function in directing site-specific 2'-O-methylation of substrate RNAs. The record is from Rfam by way of RNAcentral. Lineage: Eukaryota; Metazoa; Arthropoda; Insecta; Hymenoptera; Braconidae.